CGCGUAGGCGGCUUGGCAAGUCAGAUGUGAAAGCCCCGGGCUUAACUCGGGAAUUGCAUCUGAAACUGCUUUGCUUGAGUCCUGGAGGGGAUAGUGGAAUUCCCAGUGUAGCGGUGAAAUGCGUAGAUAUUGGGAGGAACACCUGCGGCGAAGGCGGCUAUCUGGACAGUGACUGACGCUGAGGCGCGAAAGCUAGGGGAGCGAACGGGAUUAGAUACCCCGGUAGUCCUAGCCGUAAACGAUGGGCACUUGGUGUUGGGGGUAUUGAGUCCCUCGGUGCCGGAGUUAACACGCUAAGUGCCCCGCCUGGGGAGUACGGUCGCAAGACUGAA
This 332-nucleotide ribosomal RNA is filed under the name uncultured bacterium. Its description in RNAcentral is "bacterial SSU rRNA". It matches the Rfam family "Bacterial small subunit ribosomal RNA", at positions 568 to 898 of the family's 1533-position model. The record is from RNAcentral.